AUUUUUGUAAGCUAUGUUAAGCUAUUGAGUUCAUACCUCAAAAAAGAUUUUUAUCCAAAAAUUUUUGUUUUGACGUCAAAAA
This 82-nucleotide transfer RNA is filed under the name Flaccisagitta enflata. Its description in RNAcentral is "tRNA-Met". Lineage: Eukaryota; Metazoa; Chaetognatha; Sagittoidea; Aphragmophora; Sagittidae. The record is from RNAcentral.